GACGAACGCUGGCGGCGUGCUUAACACAUGCAAGUCGAACGAUGAAGCCGCUUCGGUGGUGGAUUAGUGGCGAACGGGUGAGUAACACGUGGGCAAUCUGCCCUUCACUCUGGGACAAGCCCUGGAAACGGGGUCUAAUACCGGAUAACACUCUGUCCCGCAUGGGACGGGGUUAAAAGCUCCGGCGGUGAAGGAUGAGCCCGCGGCCUAUCAGCUUGUUGGUGGGGUAAUGGCCUACCAAGGCGACGACGGGUAGCCGGCCUGAGAGGGCGACCGGCCACACUGGGACUGAGACACGGCCCAGACUCCUACGGGAGGCAGCAGUGGGGAAUAUUGCACAAUGGGCGAAAGCCUGAUGCAGCGACGCCGCGUGAGGGAUGACGGCCUUCGGGUUGUAAACCUCUUUCAGCAGGGAAGAAGCGAAAGUG
RNAcentral lists this ribosomal RNA (428 nucleotides) under Streptomyces sp. R-41789. RNAcentral's name for it is "bacterial SSU rRNA". It matches the Rfam family "Bacterial small subunit ribosomal RNA", at positions 28 to 458 of the family's 1533-position model. The record is from RNAcentral. Lineage: Bacteria; Bacillati; Actinomycetota; Actinomycetes; Kitasatosporales; Streptomycetaceae.